UACGAAGGGGGCUAGCGUUGCUCGGAAUUACUGGGCGUAAAGCGCACGUAGGCGGAUUGUUAAGUCGGGGGUGAAAUCCUGGAGCUCAACUCCAGAACUGCCUUCGAUACUGGCGAUCUUUGAGUCCGGGAGAGGUGGGUGGAACUGCGAGUGUAGAGGUGAAAUUCGUAGAUAUUCGCAAGAACACCAGUGGCGAAGGCGGCUCACUGGCCCGGUACUGACGCUGAGACGCGAAAGCGUGGGGAGCGAACAGG
Molecule: ribosomal RNA, 254 nt
Filed under: uncultured bacterium
Lineage: Bacteria
Description: partial 16S ribosomal RNA
Rfam family: Bacterial small subunit ribosomal RNA
Source: RNAcentral